RNAcentral lists this ribosomal RNA (433 nucleotides) under uncultured bacterium. Its description in RNAcentral is "partial 16S ribosomal RNA". It matches the Rfam family "Bacterial small subunit ribosomal RNA", at positions 29 to 507 of the family's 1533-position model. The record is from RNAcentral.
AACGAACGCUGGCGGCAUGCCUAACACAUGCAAGUCGAACGAGACCUUCGGGUCUAGUGGCGCACGGGUGCGUAACGCGUGGGAACCUGCCCUUAGGUUCGGAAUAACUCCCCGAAAGGGGUGCUAAUACCGGAUAAUGUCUUCGGACCUAAGAUUUAUCGCCUUUGGAUGGGCCCGCGUUGGAUUAGCUAGUUGGUAGGGUAAAAGCCUACCAAGGCGACGAUCCAUAGCUGGUCUGAGAGGAUCAUCAGCCACACUGGGACUGAGACACGGCCCAGACUCCUACGGGAGGCAGCAGUGGGGAAUAUUGGACAAUGGGCGAAAGCCUGAUCCAGCAAUGCCGCGUGAGUGAUGAAGGCCUUAGGGUUGUAAAGCUCUUUUACCCGGGAUGAUAAUGACAGUACCGGGAGAAUAAGCUCCGGCUAACUCCGUG